UGGGGAAUAUUGGACAAUGGGCGAAAGCCUGAUCCAGCCAUGCCGCGUGUGUGAAGAAGGUCUUCGGAUUGUAAAGCACUUUAAGUUGGGAGGAAGGGCAGUUACCUAAUACGUGAUUGUUUUGACGUUACCGACAGAAUAAGCACCGGCUAACUCUGUGCCAGCAGCCGCGGUAAUACAGAGGGUGCAAGCGUUAAUCGGAAUUACUGGGCGUAAAGCGCGCGUAGGUGGUUUGUUAAGUUGGAUGUGAAAUCCCCGGGCUCAACCUGGGAACUGCAUUCAAAACUGACUGACUAGAGUAUGGUAGAGGGUGGUGGAAUUUCCUGUGUAGCGGUGAAAUGUGUAGAUAUAGGAAGGAACACCAGUGGCGAAGGCGACCACCUGGACUAAUACUGACACUGAGGUGCGAAAGCGUGGGGAGCAAACA
RNAcentral lists this ribosomal RNA (427 nucleotides) under Pseudomonas sp. Its description in RNAcentral is "partial 16S ribosomal RNA". It matches the Rfam family "Bacterial small subunit ribosomal RNA", at positions 355 to 774 of the family's 1533-position model. The record is from RNAcentral. RNAcentral also lists the same sequence under 1 other name. Lineage: Bacteria; Pseudomonadati; Pseudomonadota; Gammaproteobacteria; Pseudomonadales; Pseudomonadaceae.